This 501-nucleotide ribosomal RNA is filed under the name uncultured bacterium. Its description in RNAcentral is "partial 16S ribosomal RNA". It matches the Rfam family "Bacterial small subunit ribosomal RNA", at positions 30 to 523 of the family's 1533-position model. The record is from RNAcentral.
AUUGAACGCUGGCGGCAGGCUUAACACAUGCAAGUCGAGCGGAGAUGAGGUGCUUGCACCUUAUCUUAGCGGCGGACGGGUGAGUAAUGCUUAGGAAUCUGCCUAUUAGUGGGGGACAACAUUCCGAAAGGAAUGCUAAUACCGCCUACGUCCUACGGGAGAAAGCAGGGGAUCUUCGGACCUUGCGCUAAUAGAUGAGCCUAAGUCGGAUUAGCUAGUUGGUGGGGUAAAGGCCUACCAAGGCGACGAUCUGUAGCGGGUCUGAGAGGAUGAUCCGCCACACUGGGACUGAGACACGGCCCAGACUCCUACGGGAGGCAGCAGUGGGGAAUAUUGGACAAUGGGGGGAACCCUGAUCCAGCCAUGCCGCGUGUGUGAAGAAGGCCUUAUGGUUGUAAAGCACUUUAAGCGAGGAGGAGGCUACUGAGACUAAUACUCUUGGAUAGUGGACGUUACUCGCAGAAUAAGCACCGGCUAACUCUGUGCCAGCAGCCGCAGUAA